CAGCUCCAUCCGGCUCCUCAUCUCCACAAGCACGAGUACAAAAUUGCUCCUCAAAUUUCGCAACUAUUACAACAGAAAUGGUACCAUACCUCUCCAUCCCUCGUUCCCCUCUCUUAACGGCAGCGUGGUGGCGUGCAGCCGUCCAGAGGACCACCGGCGACUGAUCUAGGCGCUUCACGCCCCGUUCCUGCCCCAGCUGGCACUAGCACGGCCGCGCCACCCGGCGUGGGUGCGAGCACCUGGCUCUGCGGCCUAGUCUGACAGCAACGGAUGCCUCGUGCAGCUUGGGCCAGCAGAUGCGGAAUGCCAGAGUAGCAGCACAAGCGCCCGAGCAGCGCUAGAGACGAUGUGUCAGUAGCACGCCAGCAUGCAUGGGGAUGGACGGAGGGAGUGACGUAGUGUGGCACAGAGCAAAAGAGGAUGGAGCUGGAGUGUGCUGCCG
This 442-nucleotide long non-coding RNA is filed under the name Setaria italica (foxtail millet). Its description in RNAcentral is "long non-coding RNA (SITA_LNC003943)". Lineage: Eukaryota; Viridiplantae; Streptophyta; Magnoliopsida; Poales; Poaceae. The record is from RNAcentral.